This is a long non-coding RNA of Uloborus diversus, 1260 nucleotides long. RefSeq lists it as uncharacterized. NCBI's taxonomy places the organism in Eukaryota, Metazoa, Arthropoda, Arachnida, Araneae, Uloboridae. The record is from RefSeq and is a predicted model, not a curated record. The transcript is spliced from 5 exons.
GCGCGUCCGUCUACAGCCAUUUUUUUUUUAUUCCACCUCCUGACUACGACCACGUUUUCUUCCCUCGUUCAUCGUUCCGUAAUGUACUAGUUGCUGAAUCCGAGGUCUCCAUCCUCGCUUUUCUAAAAUGUAUCAUGUAGUGGAGUUCAAAGCAACCCAAGAAGUAGAGGUGGUGCCUUCUAAUUGGGUUUUAAACAAAGAGGAAUGUUUAUGGCCAGACUCAGCACCAGCCUGGAAAGUGUCGAGCAUGGUUCAUCAUCGAGCAGAAACCAAUAAAGAUUUUACGAAAUAUGAUAUGAGGUCAUUGGGUACAUUUUGGACAUAUGAGGAAGCUAGAGGAAAACUGAAAAAGGCAGAGUACUCCUCAGAUAUAGUUUCCGACGCAGAUGCACCGAGAGAGAAAAGAUUGCAUCACCAAGACUGCUGCAGCAGCAAUAGUGAAACUGAAGAACAAUCUCAGUCGCUUUUGUGUGCUGCACCAGCAAGAAGCCAAAAGAAGAUAAAAAUCCUUCGAGGACCAAGGGUUGAAGUUCCAGACUGCCCGGACUCAUUCAAUACCGAGUAUUUGAUUGGAACACCUGCACUGCCAAGUGCUCCUACAAUAAGAAUCCCACCCCCAAAUAAUCAGUCACCCAUAAUAACUCCAACAAACACUUUUGCAAUGCCAAACACAAAUACACCUCCACCCUUAAACAAUUUUGCUGCCUCUCAUACGAACACACUUAACUCAGAUAAUUUUGCCCCCCCCUUCAAUCCUCAUCCUCUUGCGCUUGCUCCAAAUUACAUUUACACCUUCUAAAAAAAAUACAAAAGGAGCAAGCAGCACAGAGGGAACUUUUAAUGCAGCUAUUAAAACAAAAAACAAACACAAAAACACACUUAGCUAAAUCGUUGCCACAAGACUUCCCCAUAAACUUGCCCCUAACGGAAAUUAACCAGCUCCCACUAACUGACACCUACCUACAAAAUGAUGAAAAAUUUUCAGAAACAGUUUCCUACUUGGCAACUAUAGGAGGGUUAGGUGCAAAGCAAGUAAUGCAUCGCUUGCUAUCCUCUGUCCUCCACCAAGAUCUUGCUGUGAUGCUGAAUUGGAAAGGCAGAGGCGAAAAGCAUGCAUUUCAUCAAUACCGAAGAAUAAUUUUAUGUAUUUUCCGUGCAGCACAAGCCAAUGCUCAAGAUUAUACAUUGAACAACGCAGAAGUGUUUAUUAAGAGUUGGCUGAGGUUUGCCCCUGACCGGAAUGGGACACGCAAAAAAAAU